Molecule: long non-coding RNA, 1516 nt
Organism: Passer domesticus (house sparrow)
Lineage: Eukaryota; Metazoa; Chordata; Aves; Passeriformes; Passeridae
Exons: 3
Source: RefSeq, a predicted model, not a curated record
GGCUGGGUAAUCCUAGCCCCACGCAGCUGUGGUGGGGUAUCCUGGCACUGCUCACAUCCCCCUGCGUGGCCAAAAAGAGUGGUUUUACCGGGGAGGAGAGGGUUCUGUGUCUGCUUGAUGCCUUGGAGGGGCUACCUAGAACAGAGGCUAGACAAGAUUAAGAGAAUGCAGUGGGUGUUUAUUGAAGGCCUUCAACAGCCACACCUUGGGCAGUGCAAAAUGCUCACAGAGGCUACGCCCAAGAUGGACAAUGGGCACCAGUUUUUCAGACAAUUACGAUUUUAGUCCAUUUACAUAUCAGUGAAUGCUAUUUGCAUGAAAAUGGGACCUUUUGUUUCUGAAGAACUGAUCCAUCCCUGCUACUUAUUCCUCAUUUGGACACUGACCAUAGGAGCCUGAGUCUGCCCAGUGAGUGCAAUUAACUCGGAUCCUCUGGACUGUAAUCCUCUGGGAUACUGGGCUCACUUCCACAGCAUCUGAGUGUGACAGAAAGGGUUUCUCACUUCAGGUGGAUUAAGUAUGCAGCAGAGGCUGAGCGAACGUGGCUGUAAUGGAGAGUGGGGUGCAGUAAUACCACAAGUCUGUGUUUGAAACCCCACUCCUUCCCUGGGGGCUGAGAAUCCUGGAGCUGCAGGCGCCUGAUCUGCUGUCCCUUUGUUCCAGUGGGCCACCUGCAAUGCGGCUCCAUGGCUGGUUUGUCACUUGCAAUUGGCUUGUGGUGCUGCUGCUUCAUCUUGUUUGAUUGGGGAAACUUGCCUGAUGGUUCUUUGUGCUGUCUUCAUUAACCCUCAAAACAUCACCAGAUCUCCAGGUGUCCUUGAGCUGGCCAGAAAAGUCCUUCCUUCUUCUUGGCUCCCUGACAGAAAGACAGCUUUGUUGUUUUGAUAUUUUGUGUACAACAAAAAAAAAUAUUUUGUAUCCUGAGCAAUUUUGCCAAAACUUUGAUAAGAGAGAUUGUUAUCUAUGUGGUUCUCUUUGCAUCUGUGUUUUAAGCACAUUAGGUGGGAGCUGGAUUGUAAACCUGUAAUGUGACUAGGGAGAAUGUUAGGAAUAAAAUUCUUGAGCACAUGCAGUGGAGUUCUAGAAAAACAAAUGCUUCAUCUAAUGCAAACAAAAUAGUUUUCAGUAUGGGAGUCUGGCUGCUGUGGUGUUCAAGUUAAACAAUCUGAUAGCCUGAGAGUUAGAAUGGGUGUAUUUACCCACAGGAUUGGAUUUUUGAUUGGCAAAAAGUGGGAGAGAGAUUUGGGACAUCUUCUAAAGAUGUUUUGUGACAGGUGUAUGUGGGCAUCCCAAGGCAAAUGACACAGGCUAAUUUGAGAGAGCAAUAACCCAUAAUAGCGUAGAGCAUAAAAAAUAUCUGAAUGGUGUGAUUAUGUGCAGAAAUGAAAGCUGGGAUAAGAGUCAGUGAUACUGCUUGGUUCGUGCCCAGUUGCUCCAGACCAAGGUAACAUAUUAUUCCAGCCUCAGUAUUUUGUGUUCCAAAGGAACAGAUUAAAGAUCUCGCUGUUGCUACUGA